GGGGGCGACCUGGCUUCGACGGGGGUUGCGAAGCGGAUGAGGGCAUACCGGGAUUUCAGUUACCCCGUAAAACGCUGAAUUUUUUUAGUCGCAAACGACGAAACUUACGCUCUAGCCGCCUAACGGUGGCUAGACACUGCAACGGUUCGCUGAUGGGCCGGGUGGGUCAAACUACUGCAGUGUCAUUUUACAUCAGCUAGCUCUGUGCCGGGUCGCUUGGCCCAGAGCGAAACUCAAGGCGACUCGCCUAUGCUCAGCCUGCCCGUCGGCGGAGUAGCAGGUUAAAUCCAAAUGACACGGCUAAGUAUGUAGAACUCACCGUAGAGGAUUUCCGGACGCGGGUUCGAUUCCCGCCGCCUCCACCA
This 365-nucleotide transfer-messenger RNA is filed under the name Crenobacter cavernae. RNAcentral describes it as "Standard tmRNA". It matches the Rfam family "transfer-messenger RNA". Rfam says of the family: Bacterial tmRNA, also known as 10Sa RNA or SsrA, is named for its dual tRNA and mRNA-like properties. Its role is to liberate the mRNA from a stalled ribosome. The record is from RNAcentral. Lineage: Bacteria; Pseudomonadati; Pseudomonadota; Betaproteobacteria; Neisseriales; Neisseriaceae.